AGAGUUUGAUCAUGGCUCAGAAUCAACGCUGGCGGCGCGCUUAACACAUGCAAGUCGAACGAGAAAGGGGAGCAAUCCCUGAGUAAAGUGGCGUACGGGUGAGUAACACGUGGAUGACCUACCCUCUGGUGGGGAAUAACCCUGGGAAACCGGGGCUAAUACCGCAUAAGUCCGGAAGGAGAAAGGCGCAAGUCGCCGGAGGAGGGGUCCGCGGCCGAUUAGCUAGUUGGUGGGGUAACGGCCCACCAAGGCGAAGAUCGGUAGCCGGCCUGAGAGGGCACACGGCCACACUGGCACUGAAACACGGGCCAGACUCCUACGGGAGGCAGCAGUGGGGAAUCUUGCACAAUGGGGGAAACCCUGAUGCAGCGACGCCGCGUGAGCGAUGAAGCCCUUCGGGGUGUAAAGCUCUUUCGACGGGAACGAUAAUGACGGUACCCGGAGAAGAAGCUGCGGCUAACUACGUGCCAGCAGCCGCGGUAAUACGUAGGCAGCGAGCGUUGUUCGGAGUUACUGGGCGUAAAGAGUAUGUAGGCGGUUGCGCAAGUUUGGUGUGAAAUCUCCCGGCUCAAC
Molecule: ribosomal RNA, 573 nt
Filed under: uncultured Acidobacteriaceae bacterium
Lineage: Bacteria; Pseudomonadati; Acidobacteriota; Terriglobia; Terriglobales; Acidobacteriaceae
Description: bacterial SSU rRNA
Rfam family: Bacterial small subunit ribosomal RNA
Source: RNAcentral